Long non-coding RNA from Armigeres subalbatus, 1197 nucleotides. RefSeq lists it as uncharacterized. The transcript is spliced from 3 exons. NCBI's taxonomy places the organism in Eukaryota, Metazoa, Arthropoda, Insecta, Diptera, Culicidae. The record is from RefSeq and is a predicted model, not a curated record.
AGGGGGUGUUCUUCUUCAUUAGAUAGUGAAAGUGCAGUUAAAUUAUCCUAUCCACGCCUUAUAGUUUUGCCAUUCAAAAAAAAAACCAAGCCACCUUCCAUAGGUGAAAUAGAAAUAAGAAGAAAAGGCCCGUGUCUGCUUCCGGGCCUUUUCUUUUCUUUUGUGGCUUCGGGACUGGCCCCGAAGUUAUUUCUACUCCGCAGUGACAUCGGUAAGCCUUGCUAAGGACCAUAGAGAAGCUCGUCAGGCCACCCCAUUCCGACGUUUGGCCACAGUCGUUACAAGACCCAAGACCGACGCAUUACCACUUCGUCACGAUCCGCCAUCGCGCCAAUCGGGUAGCAGGCCACCCCAGGCCGACAUAUUACCGCUUCGUCCCGAUCCGCCAUCGAGCCAAUCGGGUAGCAGGCCACCUCCAGACCGACGCUUUUCCGCCAUCGCACCACUCGGGUAGCAGGCCAAGCUUCUCCAUCGUCACCCGCCGCCAUCGCGCCUCGUAGCAGGCCCACGUAGACAAGCCGACUAGAACUUUCGUUUGCUGGCUGCCGUCGUGCCACGCAGGGUGUGGUCCCGCACCUCCGACCGGAAUUCCAUAAGACCACCAGCGAUCGCUGGCUGUUAUCGUGCAACACUGCAGGCGGAGUCGACAAUUCGCUGGAUGAACGUUGGACCACCGCCGUUCCCUGACCACCAUCGUGUCCUCCCGACCGCUGGCCCACACAGUCCGACACCCCAACGAUAAAACACCAGCUCGGCGGCCACCGUAGUGCCACAGUCGCAACAAUUACGAACCUCCAAGCCAGUCCGACAACGUCCUCCACCGCCAGUAAUCGCCGAUAUGCCAGCCACCAAUGCCACUACCAUCGUAGCCUUCGUCAUCCUCAGCAACAUCAACACGCGCAAGUACACCACUGAUUUGUCUCUCUCUCUCUAAAAUGCCAUAAGGGCGAAUAAAAUGUUAAUUAUGUAAGCAAAUUUUGGUGGUCAGGUCAUUUAGAAGACGCACUCCCUGAUGCUGUAUGAAUUGCUCCUUUGCUUGAUUCGUUACCGUACCUGAAAGGGGUAUUCAAGCCUUGGUCUUGGUAGUCCACAUUGAAGAUACCUUUACCUCGAUCGUUUUGUAGUCCACCUUGGUCAAUAGAACCGGUUGGCUGUUUUCUCCGCAAGGUUUUCCGCUUAAUUGCUCCUGCUUUAAGG